AUGGUCUCACCCCUGACCUCAUCAUCCACCCACCUGCCUCCCAAAGUGCUGCGACACGGCUGUGAGCCACCACUGGCCACACAUGUUUAUGGCCAUGUCGAAGGACGCCGUGAAUCUGGUGCAGGUGCAGGAGCUGACUUUGCAGCCGGAGCAACAGUCCAAGCUCAAACAACUUGUCAAUGAGGAGAACUUACGGAAGCAGGAGGAGUUCGUGCCAGAAACAC
RNAcentral lists this long non-coding RNA (224 nucleotides) under Papio anubis (olive baboon). Its description in RNAcentral is "lncRNA (ENSPANG00000041633.1)". The record is from RNAcentral. Lineage: Eukaryota; Metazoa; Chordata; Mammalia; Primates; Cercopithecidae.